Molecule: ribosomal RNA, 440 nt
Filed under: uncultured bacterium
Lineage: Bacteria
Description: partial 16S ribosomal RNA
Rfam family: Bacterial small subunit ribosomal RNA
Source: RNAcentral
CCUACGGGAGGCAGCAGUGGGGAAUAUUGCACAAUGGGGGAAACCCUGAUGCAGCGACGCCGCGUGAGUGAAGAAGUAAUUCGUUAUGUAAAGCUCUAUCAGCAGGGAAGAAAAUGACGGUACCUGAGUAAGAAGCACCGGCUAACUACGUGCCAGCUACCGCGGUAAUACGUAGGGGGCAAGCGUUAUCCGGAUGUACUGGGUGUAAAGGGAGCGUAGACGGCAGUGAAAGUCUGGAGUGAAAGUCGGGGGUUCAACCCCCGGACUGCUCUGGAAACUGUACGGCUGGAGUGCAGGAGAGGUAAGUGGAAUUCCUGGUGUAGCGGUGAAAUGCGUAGAUAUUAGGAGGAACACCAGUGGCGAAGGCGGCAUACUGGACUGUAACUGACGUUGAAGCUCGAAAGCGUGGGGAGCAAACAGGAUUAGAUACCCGAGUAGUC